UGGCUCAGAACGACGCUGGCGGCGUGCUUAACACAUGCAAGUCGAGCGGAAAGGCCCUUCGGGGUACUCGAGCGGCGAACGGGUGAGUAACACGUGAGUAACCUGCCCUUGGCUCUGGGAUAAGCCCGGGAAACUGGGUCUAAUACCGGAUACGACACACUCCCGCAUGGGAUGUGUGUGGAAAGUUUUUCGGCUGGGGAGGGGCUCGCGGCCUAUCAGCUUGUUGGUGGGGUAACGGCCUACCAGGGCUCCGACGGGUAGCUGGUCUGAGAGGACGACCAGCCACACUGUGUUGAGACACGGGACAGACUCCUACGGGAUUUCUGCAGUGGGGA
This 335-nucleotide ribosomal RNA is filed under the name uncultured bacterium. RNAcentral describes it as "bacterial SSU rRNA". It matches the Rfam family "Bacterial small subunit ribosomal RNA", at positions 20 to 360 of the family's 1533-position model. The record is from RNAcentral.